GCCCAGCUGGCUCAGUCAGUAGAGCAUGAGGCUCUUGAUCUGAGGGUCGUGAGUUUGAGCCCCACAUUGGGUA
Molecule: transfer RNA, 73 nt
Filed under: Felis catus (domestic cat)
Lineage: Eukaryota; Metazoa; Chordata; Mammalia; Carnivora; Felidae
Also listed under: 1 other name
Rfam family: tRNA
About the family: Transfer RNA (tRNA) molecules are approximately 80 nucleotides in length. Their secondary structure includes four short double-helical elements and three loops (D, anti-codon, and T loops). Further hydrogen bonds mediate the characteristic L-shaped molecular structure. tRNAs have two regions of fundamental functional importance: the anti-codon, which is responsible for specific mRNA codon recognition, and the 3' end, to which the tRNAs corresponding amino acid is attached (by aminoacyl-tRNA synthetases). tRNAs cope with the degeneracy of the genetic code in two manners: having more than one tRNA (with a specific anti-codon) for a particular amino acid; and 'wobble' base-pairing, i.e. permitting non-standard base-pairing at the 3rd anti-codon position.
Source: Rfam by way of RNAcentral